GACGAACGCUGGCGGCGUGCUUAACACAUGCAAGUCGAACGAAGUGGCGAACGGGUGAGUAACGCGUAAUCAACCUGCCCUUCAGCGGGGGACAACAGUUGGAAACGACUGCUAAUACCGCAUACUUAAGCAGGGGAUGGCGUCUGAUUAGCUAGUUGUAGGGGGAACGUCCCACCAAGGCGAUGAUCAGUAGCCGGUCGGAGAGGAUGAACGGCUACAUUGGGACGGAGACCCGGCCCAGAGUCCUACGGGAGGCAGCAGUGGGGAAUCUUCCGCAAUGGACGAAAGUCUGACGGCGCAACGCCGCGUGAGUGAUGACGGCCUUCGGGUUGUAAAGCUCUGUUAAUCGGGACGCGGUACCGGAAUAGAAAGCCACGGCUAACUACGUGCCAGCAGCCGCGGUAAUUC
Molecule: ribosomal RNA, 408 nt
Filed under: uncultured bacterium
Lineage: Bacteria
Description: partial 16S ribosomal RNA
Rfam family: Bacterial small subunit ribosomal RNA
Source: RNAcentral